Long non-coding RNA from Rosa chinensis, 577 nucleotides. RefSeq lists it as uncharacterized. The record is from RefSeq and is a predicted model, not a curated record. The transcript has 3 exons. Lineage: Eukaryota; Viridiplantae; Streptophyta; Magnoliopsida; Rosales; Rosaceae.
GAUUUUCUUCAUAUCUAGGCAAUAUGAGUGCAAUCGAAAUGCUCAAAUAGUGAAGUAGAUGCAAAAGACUGAGAGAAUAUGGGACCUUUCUUUAGAAAAUGAUGAGGAAGAGGAGGCAGAAUUUAAAGCUAAAACAAAACAGGAAGUGAAUGCUCCAAAAGAUUUACCUCCACAACUCCUAUUUGUUCAUCAGGGACAAAAAGACUUGAAAUAACUUCAUUGGCAUUCACAAAUUCCUGGCAUGAUCGUACAGCUGCAGCAGAUGGUUAUAAUAUUCUGAUGCCUUUAAACAUACAGACCACCUUCCCUCCGAUGGUCCUAUAAAGUUUUGAUAUCAGUAUGCUUCGUCCACUGCAAAGAGUAGAUGCAUCAGAUCAUGUUCCAAUAAUGGGAUGGAUGAAUGCGUUAUGCUGAAGCAAUUACAUACAAGUGACAUUUUGUCUCUUUACCCUUUUCUUCCGUUCUCCCCAUUUUGGGGGUUUGGUUGUGUAUGGAGUUUAAAUGGGACAUCUAAACUCUUUGCCUAAAGUUUUUGUAUUACAGGAAGUUUUAAAUGUCAUCAAGUUUAAUUAUCUCA